UACGUAGGGUGCAAGCGUUGUCCGGAAUUAUUGGGCGUAAAGAGCUUGUAGGCGGUUUGUCGCGUCUGCUGUGAAAUUUCGGGGCUCAACCCCGAACUUGCAGUGGGUACGGGCAGGCUAGAGUGUGGUAGGGGAGAGUGGAAUUCCUGGUGUAGCGGUGGAAUGCGCAGAUAUCAGGAAGAACACCCGUGGCGAAGGCGGCUCUCUGGGACGGUACUGACGCUGAGACGCGAAAGCGUGGGGAGCGAACAGG
RNAcentral lists this ribosomal RNA (253 nucleotides) under uncultured bacterium. RNAcentral's name for it is "partial 16S ribosomal RNA". It matches the Rfam family "Bacterial small subunit ribosomal RNA", at positions 524 to 776 of the family's 1533-position model. The record is from RNAcentral.